Myotis brandtii (Brandt's bat) is the source of this 300-nucleotide long non-coding RNA. RefSeq lists it as uncharacterized. The transcript has 3 exons. NCBI's taxonomy places the organism in Eukaryota, Metazoa, Chordata, Mammalia, Chiroptera, Vespertilionidae. The record is from RefSeq and is a predicted model, not a curated record.
UUCAUGAGCCUGAACAGCCCUAAGAAGCACUUGCUGCAAUAGUCCAUUGUGCAGGCAGGAGAGAGACAGGCCCUGACAGGCACAAUGACUUAUCCAGGAUCAAGAAGAGUUAUCGGGGCUCUGGUUCCCGAAGACCCUGCAGGGAGAGUUGUUCCAGACUCUGUAGACGGUUCAACACUCGUGCCCGACAUCUCUGGCCGUUUUCAAGAAGAUCCCCUCAGAGCUCCUCAAAGGAGACUGGACCGGAGCCGACAGAUGGGGUCCUCAACUCCAUGCCCCUGCAGGAGGCACAGAUACCUG